Molecule: ribosomal RNA, 253 nt
Filed under: uncultured bacterium
Lineage: Bacteria
Description: partial 16S ribosomal RNA
Rfam family: Bacterial small subunit ribosomal RNA
Source: RNAcentral
UACAGAGGGUGCGAGCGUUGUCCGGAAUCACUGGGCGUAAAGGGCGCGUAGGUGGCGCGACAAGUCAGUGGUGGAAGCUCGACGCUCAACGUCGAGUCGGCCACUGAUACUGUUGGGCUUGAGCACUGUAGAGGCUAAUGGAAUUCCGGGUGUAGCGGUGGAAUGCGUAGAGAUCCGGAAGAACACCGGUGGCGAAGGCGGUUAGCUGGGCAGUUGCUGACACUGAGGCGCGACAGCGUGGGGAGCAAACAGG